UGCGCAAACUGACGACAGAUUGGUAGCAGAAACCGAGCAGAAUCUGCGAAUUUUGGCCAUUCAUAUAAAAUGGUGCAUUUAAAUGAAUUUAAAGGAUCUCAAACCCAAAUGGCAAAAUGACGGUGAAUUUUGGUCACAAAAUGAUCAAUUAGAUGUCCUAAGCUGGGUCUCAUAAAAUCCGAAAAUGGCAUCCAAUUGAGGUAACAAUUCAGUUCGCGCUCAAGCUGCUGCUGUCUUCGCAACUUCAGAAAGGACUGUCGGUUCUCCACUUUCUCUCUCUCCUUCGCAAACUCUCUACAAGCGUGAUACAGAUGACAUGGGAGCUUACUCGGGAGCACUUUUAUAAAGACUAAGUUUAGCAGGGGACUUUCUGGCAAUACCACUGAAUAUUCUAGCAAUAUCGGCAUAUUUGAUAAGCUAACUGUGUUUAAAUAAAAUAUCAUAGAAAAUAUUUCAGAAACAAAUUGUUGCUUUUUGCGAUAUACUUGUUUCGUAGAUUGCUUUAAACUAGCUUGUAUUAUGGUGUAAUAUAUUAUACACAGAAUUGUAUAAUCAAUUUAUUGUUAACUACUCUCUUAAAUACGCUUGGGAAUUCUUCCUAAUUAAAUAUUAAAAUAAUCUAGCGGUGGUUAAUUAAAUAAACGAGCUGCGAUACCAAAAAUUUACAUUUCUAUAAAAUACACAUUUUUCAUCGUAUUCUCAUCGCGUAUUCAGUACUAAGUAUGGUUAUAUAAUCUUGAAUUUUGUUUUUCACGUGUCAAAGAUCACAUACAAUCACUUUAACUAUAAAUAUAAUACAUGUAUAUAUCCAAUAAGAAAAUAAUAGAAAUUUAUAAAUUAAGAAACAUAGUAAGCUUUUUUGCAAUAAAAGAAAAUAAAUAUCAUACAAUAAGAUACUUUCAUAAAAUAUUAAUUAAGAUUUACUGUAAUUAAUAAUUUUACAAUUUUAGAAUAAGUAUUAUGUGUGUGUAUGUGUGAUGACUGACUCCUUUUAUAUUUUUCGGUAAUAAACUGAUGAUUGGUUUAUAU
Formica exsecta is the source of this 1029-nucleotide long non-coding RNA. RefSeq lists it as uncharacterized. The transcript is spliced from 2 exons. The record is from RefSeq and is a predicted model, not a curated record. NCBI's taxonomy places the organism in Eukaryota, Metazoa, Arthropoda, Insecta, Hymenoptera, Formicidae.